GUAACACGUGGGAACGUACCCUUCGGUUCGGAACAACCCAGGGAAACUUGGGCUAAUACCGGAUACGUCCGAAAGGAGAAAGAUUUAUCGCCGAGGGAUCGGCCCGCGUCUGAUUAGCUAGUUGGUGGGGUAACGGCCCACCAAGGCGACGAUCAGUAGCUGGUCUGAGAGGAUGAUCAGCCUCACUGGGACUGAGACACGGCCCAGACUCCUACGGGAGGCAGCAGUGGGGAAUAUUGGACAAUGGGCGCAAGCCUGAUCCAGCCAUGCCGCGUGGGUGAUGAAGGCCCUAGGGUUGUAAAGCCCUUUCGGCGGGGAAGAUAAUGACGGUACCCGCAGAAGAAGCCCCGGCUAACUUCGUGCCAGCAGCCGCGGUAAUACGAAGGGGGCUAGCGUUGCUCGGAAUCACUGGGCGUACAGCGCACAUAGGCGGCUUGUCAAGUC
RNAcentral lists this ribosomal RNA (444 nucleotides) under uncultured Paenibacillus sp. Its description in RNAcentral is "bacterial SSU rRNA". It matches the Rfam family "Bacterial small subunit ribosomal RNA", at positions 110 to 589 of the family's 1533-position model. The record is from RNAcentral. Lineage: Bacteria; Bacillati; Bacillota; Bacilli; Caryophanales; Paenibacillaceae.